RNAcentral lists this ribosomal RNA (407 nucleotides) under uncultured bacterium. Its description in RNAcentral is "partial 16S ribosomal RNA". It matches the Rfam family "Bacterial small subunit ribosomal RNA", at positions 28 to 526 of the family's 1533-position model. The record is from RNAcentral.
GACGAACGCUGGCGGCGUGCCUAAUACAUGCAAGUAGAACGCAGUUGCGAACGGGUGAGUAACGCGUAGGUAACUGCCUCAUAGCGGGGGAUAACUAUUGGAAACGAUAGCUAAUACCGCCUACUGUGAGAUGGACCUGCGUUGGAUUAGCUAGUUGGUGAGGUAAAGGCUCACCAAGGCGACGAUACAUAGCCGACCUGAGAGGGUUAUGCGCCACACUUGGAAUGGUGCCCCGCCCAGACUCCCACGGGAAGCAGCCGGAGGGAAUUUUCGGCAAUGGACCGAAGGUUGAACGGGGAACGGCCGCGGAAUUAAGAAGGUUUUCGGAUCGGAAAGCUCCGGUGUUAGAGAAGCGGUAACUAACCAGAAAGGGACGGCUAACUACGUGCCAGCAGCCGCGGUAAUAC